RNAcentral lists this transfer RNA (51 nucleotides) under Paratenuisentis ambiguus. RNAcentral describes it as "transfer RNA-Cys". The record is from RNAcentral. Lineage: Eukaryota; Metazoa; Acanthocephala; Eoacanthocephala; Neoechinorhynchida; Tenuisentidae.
AAACCUGAAGUUCUUAGAUCGUGAACUUGCAAAGUUCAAGGAUUAGGUUUU